UACAGGGGGUGCAAACGUUGCUCGGAAUCAUUGGGCGUAAAGCGCACGUAGGCGGUCUGUUAUGUCGGAUGUGAAAGCCCUUGGCUUAACUGAGGAAGUGCAUCCGAAACUGGCAGGCUAGAGUACUAAAGAGGGUCGCGGAAUUCCCGGUGUAGAGGUGAAAUUCGUAGAUAUCAGGAGGAACACCGGUGGCGAAGGCGGCUCUCUGGACCACAACUGACGCUGAGGCGCGAAAGCUAGGGGAGCAAACAGG
Molecule: ribosomal RNA, 253 nt
Filed under: uncultured bacterium
Lineage: Bacteria
Description: partial 16S ribosomal RNA
Rfam family: Bacterial small subunit ribosomal RNA
Source: RNAcentral